This 374-nucleotide ribosomal RNA is filed under the name uncultured Glomeromycotina. Its description in RNAcentral is "LSU rRNA". The record is from RNAcentral. Lineage: Eukaryota; Fungi; Glomeromycota.
UUGAAAGGGAAACGAUUGAAGUCAGUCGUACCAGCGGGAAUCAACCUUUCGAGUGGGGGUUUUGGAGUUUUGAAGAGUGUCAAAACCUUUGAGAUUUCAAAAAUUUCGCUCUUUUGGUGUACUUUCUCGUGGGUAGGUUAACAUCGAUUUUGAUCAUCAUAAAAGGAUUGGAGGAAUGUAGCUUCGAUCUUGUAUUGAAGUGUUAUAGCCUUUGGUAAAUGUGAUGAUUGGGAUCGAGGAUUGCAACGAAUACCCUUUUGGGCUAUCCGCCUGAUCUCUGAUACGUGGCCUUGGCAUCGAAAGCUUGCUUAUGGUAUCAAGGUAUUACGGUCAAAAGGUUAGAACGGAUUGCAUUCGUUAAGGAUGUUGACGUA